UACGUAGGGGGCAAGCGUUGUCCGGAUUUAUUGGGCGUAAAGCGCGCGCAGGCGGUUUAUUAAGUCUGAUGUGAAAGCCCACGGCUCAACCGUGGAGGGCCAUUGGAAACUGGUAGGCUUGAGUACCGGAGAGGAUGGCGGAAUUCCCCAAGUAGAGGUGAAAUUCGUAGAUAUGGGGAGGAACACCGGUGGCGAAGGCGGCCAUCUGGACGGAUACUGACGCUGAGACGCGAAAGCGUGGGUAGCAAACAGG
RNAcentral lists this ribosomal RNA (253 nucleotides) under uncultured bacterium. RNAcentral describes it as "partial 16S ribosomal RNA". It matches the Rfam family "Bacterial small subunit ribosomal RNA", at positions 524 to 776 of the family's 1533-position model. The record is from RNAcentral.